AUCUUCAUGCAUGUUUAGAGUUUAUUGGAACAUAUACACAUCAAGAUUAAUACAAAAAACAUGAAAGAGUAAGAAGAAAGAGAGAUAAUUUUUCUAUUUUUUAAAAGAUUCGAGAUUGCAAGACAAAAACUGUUUGUAUGGUUCAAGUCAAAGACGUAUUGUGAUGUUUCGUUUUGAAGUAUUAUCCCAAUCUUUUGUGAGCUUUCCCUCGAGAAACGCUUUUAACAUUUAAUACUUUAGUUAGACUGACAGACAUUCUUAAAAUCAAGAUCAUAUAAGAAAGACUUGUCGAGAUAUAGAAUGAAACAUCAAAUAGCAAAGAAAGCUUUGUUUUGAUUGAUAAUAUUACACAUAACCAAGAGAGAGCAUAUAGUACAAACGAAAACAAGAAUAGUUAUCCUUAGAAGUAAUCUUCAGUCCUGCCCUUGAAUCCGAUUUGUCCGAAAGUGAGGCAGAGGAAGAGGCCUAAGUGCCACGUAACCAACCACAACCAGAACUGUGAAGUGAGAGCUGGAGGAGUCGGGAAGUGAGCGAGCUCAGUUCCGAUGCUAUCGAAGAAGAGACCCGUCAGGCUCUUCCCAUUUAUCGCUGGAAUGCUCGACGGAGCUAGCCAUCCGAUCAGCCCAAAUCCUACCACGUUCAAAUCUCUCCUCAACCAGUUCCUCUCAAAGCUUUAAUUCAUUUUUGACACAAACAAAUAAAUUUAUUAGAAAAUACCCUAAAAAGCACCUCAAAAUUAAAACAAGCUUUAUUAAGUUCCUAAGAUCAGUUAGGACUCAUUCCUAUAUCUUAAGUAACAUAACUAGUGAUACUUCUGG
This 818-nucleotide small RNA is filed under the name Arabidopsis thaliana (thale cress). RNAcentral's name for it is "ATSL005280". The record is from RNAcentral. Lineage: Eukaryota; Viridiplantae; Streptophyta; Magnoliopsida; Brassicales; Brassicaceae.